RNAcentral lists this ribosomal RNA (253 nucleotides) under uncultured bacterium. Its description in RNAcentral is "partial 16S ribosomal RNA". It matches the Rfam family "Bacterial small subunit ribosomal RNA", at positions 524 to 776 of the family's 1533-position model. The record is from RNAcentral.
UACGUAGGGGGCAAGCGUUGUCCGGAAUUAUUGGGCGUAAAGAGCGUGUAGGCGGUCCGGUAAGUCAGCUGUGAAAGUCAAGGGCUCAACCCUUGAAUGCCGGUUGAUACUGUCGGGCUAGAGUCCGGAAGAGGCGAGUGGAAUUCCCGGUGUAGCGGUGAAAUGCGCAGAUAUCGGGAGGAACACCAAUGGCGAAGGCAGCUCGCUGGGACGUGACUGACGCUGAGGAGCGAAAGCAUGGGGAGCGAACAGG